This 1836-nucleotide ribosomal RNA is filed under the name Escherichia coli. RNAcentral describes it as "partial 23S ribosomal RNA". It matches the Rfam family "Bacterial large subunit ribosomal RNA", at positions 419 to 2240 of the family's 2925-position model. Lineage: Bacteria; Pseudomonadati; Pseudomonadota; Gammaproteobacteria; Enterobacterales; Enterobacteriaceae. The record is from RNAcentral.
GGGACACGUGGUAUCCUGUCUGAAUAUGGGGGGACCAUCCUCCAAGGCUAAAUACUCCUGACUGACCGAUAGUGAACCAGUACCGUGAGGGAAAGGCGAAAAGAACCCCGGCGAGGGGAGUGAAAAAGAACCUGAAACCGUGUACGUACAAGCAGUGGGAGCACGCUUAGGCGUGUGACUGCGUACCUUUUGUAUAAUGGGUCAGCGACUUAUAUUCUGUAGCAAGGUUAACCGAAUAGGGGAGCCGAAGGGAAACCGAGUCUUAACUGGGCGUUAAGUUGCAGGGUAUAGACCCGAAACCCGGUGAUCUAGCCAUGGGCAGGUUGAAGGUUGGGUAACACUAACUGGAGGACCGAACCGACUAAUGUUGAAAAAUUAGCGGAUGACUUGUGGCUGGGGGUGAAAGGCCAAUCAAACCGGGAGAUAGCUGGUUCUCCCCGAAAGCUAUUUAGGUAGCGCCUCGUGAAUUCAUCUCCGGGGGUAGAGCACUGUUUCGGCAAGGGGGUCAUCCCGACUUACCAACCCGAUGCAAACUGCGAAUACCGGAGAAUGUUAUCACGGGAGACACACGGCGGGUGCUAACGUCCGUCGUGAAGAGGGAAACAACCCAGACCGCCAGCUAAGGUCCCAAAGUCAUGGUUAAGUGGGAAACGAUGUGGGAAGGCCCAGACAGCCAGGAUGUUGGCUUAGAAGCAGCCAUCAUUUAAAGAAAGCGUAAUAGCUCACUGGUCGAGUCGGCCUGCGCGGAAGAUGUAACGGGGCUAAACCAUGCACCGAAGCUGCGGCAGCGACGCUUAUGCGUUGUUGGGUAGGGGAGCGUUCUGUAAGCCUGUGAAGGUGUGCUGUGAGGCAUGCUGGAGGUAUCAGAAGUGCGAAUGCUGACAUAAGUAACGAUAAAGCGGGUGAAAAGCCCGCUCGCCGGAAGACCAAGGGUUCCUGUCCAACGUUAAUCGGGGCAGGGUGAGUCGACCCCUAAGGCGAGGCCGAAAGGCGUAGUCGAUGGGAAACAGGUUAAUAUUCCUGUACUUGGUGUUACUGCGAAGGGGGGACGGAGAAGGCUAUGUUGGCCGGGCGACGGUUGUCCCGGUUUAAGCGUGUAGGCUGGUUUUCCAGGCAAAUCCGGAAAAUCAAGGCUGAGGCGUGAUGACGAGGCACUACGGUGCUGAAGCAACAAAUGCCCUGCUUCCAGGAAAAGCCUCUAAGCAUCAGGUAACAUCAAAUCGUACCCCAAACCGACACAGGUGGUCAGGUAGAGAAUACCAAGGCGCUUGAGAGAACUCGGGUGAAGGAACUAGGCAAAAUGGUGCCGUAACUUCGGGAGAAGGCACGCUGAUAUGUAGGUGAAGUCCCUUGCGGAUGGAGCUGAAAUCAGUCGAAGAUACCAGCUGGCUGCAACUGUUUAUUAAAAACACAGCACUGUGCAAACACGAAAGUGGACGUAUACGGUGUGACGCCUGCCCGGUGCCGGAAGGUUAAUUGAUGGGGUCAGCGCAAGCGAAGCUCUUGAUCGAAGCCCCGGUAAACGGCGGCCGUAACUAUAACGGUCCUAAGGUAGCGAAAUUCCUUGUCGGGUAAGUUCCGACCUGCACGAAUGGCGUAAUGAUGGCCAGGCUGUCUCCACCCGAGACUCAGUGAAAUUGAACUCGCUGUGAAGAUGCAGUGUACCCGCGGCAAGACGGAAAGACCCCGUGAACCUUUACUAUAGCUUGACACUGAACAUUGAGCCUUGAUGUGUAGGAUAGGUGGGAGGCUUGGAAGUGUGGACGCCAGUCUGCAUGGAGCCGACCUUGAAAUACCACCCUUUAAUGUUUGAUGUUCUAACGUUGACCCGUAAUC